RNAcentral lists this ribosomal RNA (914 nucleotides) under uncultured bacterium. RNAcentral's name for it is "bacterial SSU rRNA". It matches the Rfam family "Bacterial small subunit ribosomal RNA", at positions 69 to 980 of the family's 1533-position model. The record is from RNAcentral.
GCAGCACGGAGCUUGCUCUGGUGGCGAGUGGCGAACGGGUGAGUAAUGCGUCGGAACGUAUCCAUAAUGGGGGAUAACGCAGCGAAAGCUGUGCUAAUACCGCAUACGCCCUCCGGGGGAAAGCAGGGGAUCUUAGGACCUUGCGUUAAUGGAGCGGCCGACGUCUGAUUAGCUAGUUGGUAGGGUAAAGGCCUACCAAGGCGACGAUCAGUAGCUGGUCUGAGAGGAUGAUCAGCCACACUGGGACUGAGACACGGCCCAGACUCCUACGGGAGGCAGCAGUGGGGAAUUUUGGACAAUGGGCGCAAGCCUGAUCCAGCCAUUCCGCGUGAGUGAAGAAGGCCUUCGGGUUGUAAAGCUCUUUCAGGAGGGAAGAAACGAUUGUGGCUAAUACCCAUGAUUAAUGACGGUACCUUCAGAAGAAGCACCGGCUAACUACGUGCCAGCAGCCGCGGUAAUACGUAGGGUGCGAGCGUUAAUCGGAAUUACUGGGCGUAAAGCGUGCGCAGGCGGUUUUUCAAGUCUGAUGUGAAAUCCCCGGGCUUAACCUGGGAACUGCGUUGGAAACUGAAAGACUAGAGUGCGGCAGAGGGGGGUAGAAUUCCACGUGUAGCAGUGAAAUGCGUAGAUAUGUGGAGGAAUACCGAUGGCGAAGGCAGCCCCCUGGGUCGACACUGACGCUCAUGCACGAAAGCGUGGGUAGCAAACAGGAUUAGAUACCCUGGNAGUCCACGCCCUAAACGAUGUCAACUAGUUGUUGGGGAGGGAGACCUCCUUAGUAACGCAGCUAACGCGUGAAGUUGACCGCCUGGGGAGUACGGUCGCAAGAUUAAAACUCAAAGGAAUUGANGGGGGCCCGCACAAGCGGUGGAUUAUGUGGAUUANUCGAUGCAACGCGAAAACCUUACCUACCC